Molecule: transfer RNA, 72 nt
Filed under: Sus scrofa (pig)
Lineage: Eukaryota; Metazoa; Chordata; Mammalia; Artiodactyla; Suidae
Rfam family: tRNA
About the family: Transfer RNA (tRNA) molecules are approximately 80 nucleotides in length. Their secondary structure includes four short double-helical elements and three loops (D, anti-codon, and T loops).
Source: Rfam by way of RNAcentral
UCCCUGGUGGUCUAGUGGUUAGGAUUCAGUGCUUUCACCACCACAGCCUGGGUUCAAACCCUGGUCUGGGAA